UCUUAAUUUCACAUACUCUCUCGCCUCUCAGACCGGUGAGAGAGUGUGUGAAAUGAAGAGA
RNAcentral lists this microRNA precursor (61 nucleotides) under Pristionchus pacificus. RNAcentral's name for it is "mir-8364 microRNA precursor family". It matches the Rfam family "mir-8364 microRNA precursor family". The record is from Rfam by way of RNAcentral. Lineage: Eukaryota; Metazoa; Nematoda; Chromadorea; Rhabditida; Neodiplogasteridae.